Molecule: ribosomal RNA, 758 nt
Filed under: uncultured bacterium
Lineage: Bacteria
Description: bacterial SSU rRNA
Rfam family: Bacterial small subunit ribosomal RNA
Source: RNAcentral
AGAGUUUGAUCCUGGCUCAGAAUCAACGCUGGCGGCGUGCCUAACACAUGCAAGUCGAGCGAGAAAGUGGUAGCAAUACCAUGAGUAAAGCGGCGCACGGGUGAGUAACACGUGACUAACCUACCCUGGAGUGGGGAAUAACUGAGGGAAACCUUAGCUAAUACCGCAUAAUACCCACGGGUCAAAGGAGCAAUUCGCUCUGGGAGGGGGUCGCGGCCGAUUAGUUAGUUGGCGGGGUAAUGGCCCACCAAGACGAUGAUCGGUAUCCGGCCUGAGAGGGCGCACGGACACACUGGAACUGAAACACGGUCCAGACUCCUACGGGAGGCAGCAGUGGGGAAUUUUGCGCAAUGGGGGAAACCCUGACGCAGCAACGCCGCGUGGAGGAUGAAGUACUUCGGUACGUAAACUCCUUUCGAUCGGGACGAUUAUGACGGUACCGGAAGAAGAAGCCCCGGCUAACUUCGUGCCAGCAGCCGCGGUAAUACGAGGGGGGCAAGCGUUGUUCGGAAUUAUUGGGCGUAAAGGGUGCGUAGGCGGUUUGGUAAGUCUUUUGUGAAAUCUAUGGGCUCAACUCAUAGACUGCAAGGGAAACUGCCGGGCUUGAGUGUGGGAGAGGUGAGUGGAAUUUCCGGUGUAGCGGUGAAAUGCGUAGAUAUCGGAAGGAACACCUGUGGCGAAAGCGGCUCACUGGACCACAACUGACGCUGAUGCACGAAAGCUAGGGGAGCAAACAGGAUUAGAUACCCUAGUAGUCC